This 406-nucleotide ribosomal RNA is filed under the name uncultured bacterium. RNAcentral describes it as "partial 16S ribosomal RNA". It matches the Rfam family "Bacterial small subunit ribosomal RNA", at positions 30 to 526 of the family's 1533-position model. The record is from RNAcentral.
AUUGAACGCUGGCGGCAGGCCUAACACAUGCAAGUCGAACGAGUGGCGGACGGGUGAGUAAUGUCUGGGAAACUGCCUGAUGGAGGGGGAUAACUACUGGAAACGGUAGCUAAUACCGCAUACCAUCGGAUGUGCCCAUAUGGGAUUAGCUAGUAGGUGGGGUAAAGGCUCACCUAGGCGACGAUCCCUAGCUGGGCUGAGAGGAGGACAAGCUACACUGGAACUGAACCACGGUCCAGACUCCUACGGGAGGCAGCAGUGCGGAAUAUUGCACAAUGGGCGCAAGCCUAAUGCAGCCAUGCCGCGUGGAUGAAGAAGGCCUUCGGUUUUUAAAGUACUUUCAGCGGUGAGGCGUUACUCGCAGAAGAAGCACCGGCUAACUCCGUGCCAGCAGCCGCGGUAAUUC